This 358-nucleotide long non-coding RNA is filed under the name Ananas comosus (pineapple). RNAcentral describes it as "long non-coding RNA (ACOM_LNC037329)". The record is from RNAcentral. Lineage: Eukaryota; Viridiplantae; Streptophyta; Magnoliopsida; Poales; Bromeliaceae.
UUUUAAUUUGGACUUAACUUAGACUUAGGCUUCGUUUGGGAUUGCGGGGAGAUUGCGUUACGUGCGGUGAGAAAGUACGUUGGAAAAAUAUCAUGUUUGUUUCCGUACGUAAUAUUGCGUUCCGCAUAUCGUUACGAUAUAUUUUCUGCGGUCCCACCGGAGAACGCAGAAGCAUAUCCCUAUAUGCUUUUUCCUCAAUUCCAUUUUAUCUAAUAGCGUACAUUAAAUUAAUAGACCUCAAUACCAAACUAAGCUUUAUACUGUUAGUUCAAUUAAACAUCUUAAUAGACCUCAAUACCAAACUAAGCUUUAUACUGUUAGUUCAAUUAAACAUCUUAAUGGAGUUGCAUUUUACAGA